Molecule: ribosomal RNA, 253 nt
Filed under: uncultured bacterium
Lineage: Bacteria
Description: partial 16S ribosomal RNA
Rfam family: Bacterial small subunit ribosomal RNA
Source: RNAcentral
UACGUAGGGGGCAAGCGUUGUCCGGAAUCAUUGGGCGUAAAGAGCGUGUAGGCGGCCCGGUAAGUCCGCUGUGAAAGUCCAGGGCUCAACCCUGGGAUGCCGGUGGAUACUGUCGGGCUCGAGUCCGAAAGAGGAGUGUGGAAUUCCUGGUGUAGCGGUGAAAUGCGCAGAUAUCAGGAGGAACACCAAUGGCGAAGGCAGCACUCUGGGACGUGACUGACGCUGAGACGCGAAAGCGUGGGGAGCAAACAGG